RNAcentral lists this unclassified non-coding RNA (331 nucleotides) under soil metagenome. RNAcentral describes it as "partial contains 5.8S ribosomal RNA, internal transcribed spacer 2, and large subunit ribosomal RNA". The stretch from base 1 to 120 matches the Rfam family "5.8S ribosomal RNA", at positions 35 to 154 of the family's 154-position model. The record is from RNAcentral.
GAUGAAGAACGUAGCGAAAUGCGAUAAGUAAUGUGAAUUGCAGAAUUCAGUGAAUCAUCGAAUCUUUGAACGCACAUUGCGCCCCCUGGUAUUCCGAGGGGCAUGCCUGUUCGAGCGUCAUUUCACCACUCAAGCCUCGCUUGGUAUUGGGCAACGCGGUCCGCCGCGUGCCUCAAAUCGACCGGCUGGGUCUUCUGUCCCCUAAGCGUUGUGGAAACUAUUCGCUAAAGGGUGUUCGGGAGGCUACGCCGUAAAACAACCCCAUUUCUAAGGUUGACCUCGGAUCAGGUAGGGAUACCCGCUGAACUUAAGCAUAUCAAUAAGCGGAGGA